CAGGUCGCAUUGGCCUCAGGUCAGAUGAUCCUCAAGACAGAUCGGCCUGAGUGUAAAUAAGCCUCAGGACGUUUGGUUCUCGAAACACUUGGUACUCAAACCACUUGGUCUCUAAAAUGUCUCAGAGUGAUUGGUAAUUAGGGAAAAGUGUACCAAGUGGGAGUCAAACGGUUAAACAUCAAUUAUACAGCUUUGUGACUCGUCUCUGAUCGCCGCCACACACACACACACACAGACACACUCAGGCAGGUGAAGCGGGUGGAAGUGCAUUGUUAUUACCUCCAUGCGCCACGGUAUCCAUAGCGCCCCUCCAAGCCUUGCCCCUCCAAGCCUUGCCCCUAGACUCGGGUGUGUAGGAGGAAGAGGAGGAGGAGGGGCAAGGAGGAGUAUGGGUACCAUUCGCCCCAGUACCAAGUGACUGCAAACCAAGAGAGGCGUCCACGGUGCCACCAAGGAAGCCAAGGGUGCUGCCUGGAUGGGUUCAUCACUUUGGCUGGCAUGCCUGUCACCUCUCCAAGGUUGCCACGAAAAGUAAAACGUGUUUUACGGAUCAUCGUUACAUUCCAGCGCCUCUUAAUUGCCUACGAAAUGUUUACUUAACCUCUACACGCCAAGAAAUGAGACUUCAGUUCAUAAUCGUGCAUGAGGAGAAUAAUAUUUUGAAAUCCGCGCCAUGACGUCACAGCAGAGACAUCCUGCGCGCGCAGGCCAGUGUGUGCGGCGGUAUGUUUGCUUUGUGUGUCGUGUCAAUGGUAUGUGAACUUCUGACGUUUUAUUAGUUAUUUUCCCAACCAUGGUGCGUGACAUGGUGGCGGGAGGUGUAAUGGUGCACGGCGCGAUGGUGAGACAUGGUGGUAAUGGUGCAGAGCGAUGAAAUGCUGAAAUUACUGGCGGUGGCAGGGAGGCGUAGGCGUGGCGGCAGGACGGUGUAGUGAUGAUGACUUCCUUGGCAAGUACAGUACGAACCACUCUUGCCCGGCUAUCAGCGACGACCUCUGCGUGCCGGGGUUGGUGGCGCGGCCCUGUAAUCCGGCGACGCGGAGGCUUGGCCCAGUGGACGGCUUGAGGCGAGGGUGGCUGCUGCGGGACUCCCCAUGUUGAGUGGGCGUCCGCACUAAGCUCGGCAUCAAUAUGGCCGCCCCUGGGGAGCCGGGGGCGUCCAGGUUGCCUAAGGAGGUGUGAACCAGGCCAGGGGGGAAACCCAGCAGCCAAAAGCACCCGUGUGGAGCAGCAGUGGGAUCGCGCCCGUGAGUGGGCGGCGCGCAGUAGCCUUGCCAACACAGGCGAACCUGGUACUUUUAUUUUA
This is a long non-coding RNA of Scylla paramamosain (green mud crab), 1306 nucleotides long. RefSeq lists it as uncharacterized. The transcript has 3 exons. The record is from RefSeq and is a predicted model, not a curated record. Lineage: Eukaryota; Metazoa; Arthropoda; Malacostraca; Decapoda; Portunidae.